This 421-nucleotide ribosomal RNA is filed under the name uncultured bacterium. RNAcentral's name for it is "bacterial SSU rRNA". It matches the Rfam family "Bacterial small subunit ribosomal RNA", at positions 355 to 792 of the family's 1533-position model. The record is from RNAcentral.
UGGGGAAUCUUGCACAAUGGGGGAAACCCUGAUGCAGCGACGCCGCGUGAGUGAAGAAGUUAUUCGUAAUGUAAAGCUCUAUCAGCAGGGAAGAAGAAAGACGGUACCUGACUAAGAAGCACCGGCUAAAUACGUUCCAGCAGCCGCGGUAAUACGUAUGGUGCAAGCGUUAUCCGGAUUUACUGGGUGUAAAGGGAGCGUAGGUGGUAUGGCAAGCCAGAAGUGAAAGCCCGGGGCUUAACCGCGGGAUUGCUUUUGGAACUACUGAACUAGAGUGCAGGAGGGGUAAGCGGAAUUCCUAGUGUAGCGGUGAAAUGCGUAGAUAUUAGGAGGAACACCGGUGGCGAAGGCGGCUUACUGGACUGUAACUGACACUGAGGCUCGAAAGCGUGGGGAGCAAACAGGAUUAGAUACCCUGGUA